This 517-nucleotide ribosomal RNA is filed under the name Candida albicans. RNAcentral describes it as "eukaryotic LSU rRNA". The stretch from base 170 to 323 matches the Rfam family "5.8S ribosomal RNA". The record is from RNAcentral. Lineage: Eukaryota; Fungi; Ascomycota; Pichiomycetes; Serinales; Debaryomycetaceae.
UCCGUAGGUGAACCUGCGGAAGGAUCAUUACUGAUUUGCUUAAUUGCACCACAUGUGUUUUUCUUUGAAACAAACUUGCUUUGGCGGUGGGCCCAGCCUGCCGCCAGAGGUCUAAACUUACAACCAAUUUUUUAUCAACUUGUCACACCAGAUUAUUACUAAUAGUCAAAACUUUCAACAACGGAUCUCUUGGUUCUCGCAUCGAUGAAGAACGCAGCGAAAUGCGAUACGUAAUAUGAAUUGCAGAUAUUCGUGAAUCAUCGAAUCUUUGAACGCACAUUGCGCCCUCUGGUAUUCCGGAGGGCAUGCCUGUUUGAGCGUCGUUUCUCCCUCAAACCGCUGGGUUUGGUGUUGAGCAAUACGACUUGGGUUUGCUUGAAAGACGGUAGUGGUAAGGCGGGAUCGCUUUGACAAUGGCUUAGGUCUAACCAAAAACAUUGCUUGCGGCGGUAACGUCCACCACGUAUAUCUUCAAACUUUGACCUCAAAUCAGGUAGGACUACCCGCUGAACUUAAG